Long non-coding RNA from Andrographis paniculata, 2014 nucleotides. RefSeq lists it as uncharacterized. Lineage: Eukaryota; Viridiplantae; Streptophyta; Magnoliopsida; Lamiales; Acanthaceae. The record is from RefSeq and is a predicted model, not a curated record. The transcript has 5 exons.
CCUCGUAACCCUAAUUCUAAUAUUAUAUCUCUCUCUCAUCGCGGCUUCCUUCUUCCUUUGUCCUUCAAGCUCUUCUUCUAGAGCUUCUUCCUUGUAAAAAUCUUGCCAUCGCCGCUAUUUUCGUCGGUGAAUCAAUCAGAAAACUUAAAAAAUGGCUUCUCCUAUUCAAGGCAAACCGGAUGAGCUGUCGGAUUUGGCAUUCUCGUGUACUCCGCCGCCGAUCGAGUUUUCCAAUUUCGGCUUUGGUGACGCUAUCAUCGACUUAGAAGUCACCGCCGAUUCGGAGUCUGACGGUGAAGAGCGGUUGGGUGUGGGGGUGAAGGAACAAAAAUAUCUUUCUCGUAAAUCCAAAAGCCCUCCGUCGCUUUCGAGGCGUUGUUGAUGUUUCUUCCAAUCUUUUGUCAGUUCGCUAUGAAUUUGAAGAAGUACCAAAAAGAGGAAUCAUUUGAAUGAAGCUAAAAAAUUGGAGUUCUGGACUUGUUCCAAGCACUGUCUGUUCUGCAGGUUACGAUUCAGAGGCUAUUAGACGGUUGAGAUAACAAAUGGCUAUCAAAUUCAUCACUGCUUCCACUUCCCAAAAUUCCGGAUCAUUUUCUUCAAUCACUAUCAGUUGGAUGGCGCAAUAUGUCAUCAUUGACACGACCUUCAGCACGCCAUCGCACGGAUGCUGCAAUUUUCUAAAAAAGAUUACCAUCUUUGUAAACGGUACCCCAAGGGUAAGUACUUCAUCUUCUUUAUUUCCGUCAUGGGGCUGCCCUAAAAAAUCCUACUUUUCCUGAAAAUGACACAUGCAAGGAGUUAUGCAUCCUCUUUUGUGAACAACACAUAGUUGUUUAUGCAUAUAUCUAUACUCCUACAAGUAAAAUCCAACUAAUUUGUUAUUUUGUUUACCUUAUAGUAAUUCAUUGGAAACACGACAUCAUCCGAUAUGGUAUCCUUCAAAAACUUUAACAAUAGGUCAACUGAAUUUUGUUUGACCACUAACACAGAAUCCUCAAAUGCAAGAGACAGGCAAUAAUUGAAAACUUGCUCAUCUUUUUACAGUCAGCUAUAAGGUCGUUCUACACCUAUUCUAACAUAUGUUUUUACCAUUUAUUAUUGUUGUCAAUCUCUCUUCAACUUGGAUGGUAUAAGUGUUAUAUUGAUUGUUCAUCUCAACUACGUCCUCGAGCACAACACACUCUCGUAAUAACACAUUUAACUCAUCUUCCCAGUGCGAUGUACCACAUUCGGGAACUGUGUUAGUGUUCAAUUUUUUAAAAUGAAAUUUAAGCUAAAUUUCAUAAUAAUGAUCAAAAUGAGUUAGAAAAUUAUCAACUCGCUAGAAAUAGAGUUAAAAUAACCACAAAUAUCCCUCUAGGUUGGAUGAUUUUGAUCUUAUUUCAUUAGUUUUUUUAGUAUGUUUGAGAACUUCGAUGAGAAUGAAUGACAUUUAGAGGGGUAAUUAAUUCUAAAAAUAAGCUUCAAUGCAAAAAAUCUAUGAAAAAAGAAACUGACUCAUUAGUUGAAAAUAAAACUUGGAAUUUGGUCCCUAAACAACCUAACUGUUUAAUAGUAAAUUUAAAUGGCUUUAUAAAGUAAAAUAAGAAGAAAAUGUUGUUAGGUUUACUGUUAGAUUAUUUUUCAAAGGAAUUAUACAAAAAAAAAUAGAAUAUAGACUAUAAUGAAAUAUUUGCCCGUGUCGCCAAAUUUACUAUUAUUCCUUUUGUCCGAGACCGAAACAUUGGCCGAAGAAUGCCGAGGGGUGACUUGCAGCGCGCCAACACAUAGAGGCUAACAGAGAUCCUUUGAGACAUUCCGGAACCUUCAGAAUGUUCCGGAACAUUCUAAAGGGUGUUCUUGAGUCAUGUGCGAGGCUAUACUAGCGACUUUUUGAGGGUGUUGAGGAACUACUAGACCGACUGGAAGGUGUUCGCGGAGGAACCAUCCAACCCAGUACAUUUUAAUGUUAUAUUUAGUUGCUUAUUUCUUUUAAAUUUAAAUAUUUUUUUUUUUUUAAAAAAAAGGAUGUUAA